Molecule: long non-coding RNA, 1051 nt
Organism: Anthonomus grandis grandis
Lineage: Eukaryota; Metazoa; Arthropoda; Insecta; Coleoptera; Curculionidae
Exons: 3
Source: RefSeq, a predicted model, not a curated record
AUGUGGGCACAUUGUUAUAGAAUCAAUGCCGGAAUUAAUACAAAUAUGGCAGUUGAAAGCUUAAAUAAAGUUCUGAAGUACAACAAAAUGAAUGGAAAACAGAAUAUUAGGAUCGAAAAACUGUUGGAUUUACUGGAUGAACUUGUUGAUGAAAGAAGGUGGAAAAGGAUUAUAAACAUAAAAAGGCCAAAUGCAAAUAAUUAUCAGCACAAAAUAUGUCAGAGUGCACAUAAAAAAGCAGAAGAAAUGGUGGGUAAUAACGGUAAUGUAUCAUAUUCUGAAUUAGGACAUUUUAAGGUAAGGUCGUUUAGUGAUAAUCAUAAAUUGUAUUGUGUAAAUUAUAAUGAGGUUUGUGAUGAGGACUGUAGGGCAAUGUAUUGUGAGAAGUGUAAAAUAUGUAAACAUAAAUAUAAUUGUGAUUGUCCAGAAUAUACUGUUAAAAGUGUCAUGUGUAAGCAUAUACAUGCUGUAGCUUUAUUUGAGCAGAGGAGCGAAUAUGUUUCAGGUUUCAUGGAUGAAAUGCAAGAAGAUAAUAAUCUGUAUGUCAAUGAACCUUCAACAAGCAAGACAGUUUAUGAGGAUGAAGUAAAUUAUUUUCUUGACGAGACUGAAAAUAGAAUGAAUGUGACAAUUGAUUUUGAAAGAAAGCGUGAGAUUUGUCUAGAACAGUUUUGCUCUGAAAUUCGUAAUUAUGGUGGUGGAUUGGGUGAACAUGAUUUAGAAAAAUUUAUGGGUGAUUUUAGAAAUUUUAUGCAGACAGUAAAACAAAAAGAAAUGGUGAUGAGUAAAAAAAGAAAAAUAGAAAAGCAGCAGUAUUAUCUGAACAAAAAACCUAAAUAAAUUUAUUUAUAAUAAAAUGUUUAUAACUAUUUCAUUACUGAAUGACAUUGCUUUUGUGAGUGACCUAUUCUGGUAUUAUAUCUAAGUGGUGUUGGCUAUUUGUAUUCAUGUAAUUCGUUGGCUUAUGGUGAAGAAUACUUAUAAAAUAUAUUUUUUUAAUUUUAAUUUUGCCUUUGUUAUAAUUAACUAAUAUAUUAGUGUUUGUUUCAUA